This 247-nucleotide ribosomal RNA is filed under the name uncultured bacterium. RNAcentral describes it as "partial 16S ribosomal RNA". It matches the Rfam family "Bacterial small subunit ribosomal RNA", at positions 524 to 771 of the family's 1533-position model. The record is from RNAcentral.
UACGAAGGGGGCUAGCGUUGCUCGGAAUCACUGGGCGUAAAGCGCACGUAGGCGGAUCUUUAAGUCAGGGGUGAAAUCCUGGAGCUCAACUCCAGAACUGCCUUUGAUACUGGGGAUCUCGAGUCCGGAAGAGGUGAGUGGAACUCCGAGUGUAGAGGUGAAAUUCGUAGAUAUUCGGAAGAACACCAGUGGCGAAGGCGGCUCACUGGUCCGGUACUGACGCUGAGGUGCGAAAGCGUGGGAGCAA